GGCAGGGUAGCCUAGUGGUUAGAGCGUUGGGCUAGCAACCGAAAGGUUGCAGGUUCAAAUCCCCGAGCUG
This 70-nucleotide transfer RNA is filed under the name Salmo salar (Atlantic salmon). It matches the Rfam family "tRNA". Rfam says of the family: Transfer RNA (tRNA) molecules are approximately 80 nucleotides in length. Their secondary structure includes four short double-helical elements and three loops (D, anti-codon, and T loops). Further hydrogen bonds mediate the characteristic L-shaped molecular structure. tRNAs have two regions of fundamental functional importance: the anti-codon, which is responsible for specific mRNA codon recognition, and the 3' end, to which the tRNAs corresponding amino acid is attached (by aminoacyl-tRNA synthetases). tRNAs cope with the degeneracy of the genetic code in two manners: having more than one tRNA (with a specific anti-codon) for a particular amino acid; and 'wobble' base-pairing, i.e. permitting non-standard base-pairing at the 3rd anti-codon position. The record is from Rfam by way of RNAcentral. Lineage: Eukaryota; Metazoa; Chordata; Actinopteri; Salmoniformes; Salmonidae.